CGGCGUGUACUGUCUGGCUGGGCCUUACUUCUUGGUGAGCCGGUGUGCCCUUUAUUGGUGUGCAUCGGGGAACCAGGACUUUUACCUUGAGAAAAUUAGAGUGUUCAAAGCAGGCCUAUGCCUGAAUACAUUAGCAUGGAAUAAUAGAAUAGGACGUGUGGUUCUAUUUUGUUGGUUUCU
Molecule: ribosomal RNA, 180 nt
Filed under: uncultured Glomeromycotina
Lineage: Eukaryota; Fungi; Glomeromycota
Description: partial small subunit ribosomal RNA
Rfam family: Eukaryotic small subunit ribosomal RNA (bases 68-180)
Source: RNAcentral